UACGUAGGGGGCGAGCGUUGUCCGGAUUUAUUGGGCGUAAAGAGCGUGUAGGCGGCCAGGUAGGUCUGCUGUGAAAACUCGAGGCUCAACCUCGAGACGUCGGCGGAAACCAUCUGGCUAGAGUCCGGAAGAGGAGAGUGGAAUUCCUGGUGUAGCGGUGAAAUGCGCAGAUAUCAGGAGGAACACCUAUGGCGAAAGCAGCUCUCUGGGACGGUACUGACGCUGAGACGCGAAAGCGUGGGGAGCGAACAGG
Molecule: ribosomal RNA, 253 nt
Filed under: uncultured bacterium
Lineage: Bacteria
Description: partial 16S ribosomal RNA
Rfam family: Bacterial small subunit ribosomal RNA
Source: RNAcentral